Molecule: small nuclear RNA, 104 nt
Organism: Octopus sinensis (East Asian common octopus)
Lineage: Eukaryota; Metazoa; Mollusca; Cephalopoda; Octopoda; Octopodidae
Source: RefSeq, a predicted model, not a curated record
AUAUUAAACGAUAGUACAUAGACUAAAUCUAGACCGAUAGAGAAAAAAUAGCAUGGCCCUUAUACAAGGAUGACACGCAAUUUCGUGAAGCGUUCUAUAUAUUA